RNAcentral lists this long non-coding RNA (677 nucleotides) under Homo sapiens (human). RNAcentral describes it as "HSALNT0011814". The record is from RNAcentral. Lineage: Eukaryota; Metazoa; Chordata; Mammalia; Primates; Hominidae.
GUAAGAAUUUGGGUUCCACUGAAUGGCAGGACUGAAAGAGCUGUAACACAAACAGGGAUGAAACACACCCUCUCACCCACAACUGCUCUCCAUCUUGCAGGCGAUAAGAAGGAGAGAAGACCUUUUGGAGAGCCCAGACCUAGAGGAUCCUAGAGCCAAGGUUGUGAUGCCCUCUUCAGGGCUCUGUGGUUCCUGGUGUUUCCAAGCUUUUAGGAACCAUCACAUUCCCCUUGUCCAGAUGCAGAUGCAGAUGCCUGCAGCAGAUGCCUCAUGCAGUACAUCUUGUCUAGCCACAACCUUCAGAAGCCUCAUGCAGUACAUCUUGUCCAGCCACAACCUUGCAUAGAGCCCACACCUGUGCUGGCACCUGGAGCUGGCCUGCCCUGCUGCAGCAGUGACAUGCCUGGCUGUAUGCAGUGGCCAGACCCUGUACUUGCUUGGCCACACACCUCUUGCCACACUGUGCCUAGCUCCACCUUGGCAGCUAAUAACUUGGCCUGCCACAGUCUCAUGGAUCUGGCAGAAGACAUGAAACUCCUGGGUCAGAAGAAAAGGAUUUUAUGACUCGCAGUACAACAGGCAGCUCUUACUUCGUCUUCACAUCAGUUACCUUUCUCAUCUAAGUCCCGCAAGGGUGAUGCUGAGGUCAUCCCAGAUGGAUGCUAAACACAAAACAU